AGCGGCGGACGGGUGAGUAAUGCCUAGGAAUCUGCCUGGUAGUGGGGGAUAACGCUCGGAAACGGACGCUAAUACCGCAUACGUCCUACGGGAGAAAGCAGGGGACCUUCGGGCCUUGCGCUAUCAGAUGAGCCUAGGUCGGAUUAGCUAGUUGGUGAGGUAAUGGCUCACCAAGGCGACGAUCCGUAACUGGUCUGAGAGGAUGAUCAGUCACACUGGAACUGAGACACGGUCCAGACUCCUACGGGAGGCAGCAGUGGGGAAUAUUGGACAAUGGGCGAAAGCCUGAUCCAGCCAUGCCGCGUGUGUGAAGAAGGUCUUCGGAUUGUAAAGCACUUUAAGUUGGGAGGAAGGGCAUUAACCUAAUACGUAAGUGUUUUGACGUUACCG
Molecule: ribosomal RNA, 390 nt
Filed under: uncultured bacterium
Lineage: Bacteria
Description: bacterial SSU rRNA
Rfam family: Bacterial small subunit ribosomal RNA
Source: RNAcentral